Molecule: long non-coding RNA, 361 nt
Organism: Alosa alosa (allis shad)
Lineage: Eukaryota; Metazoa; Chordata; Actinopteri; Clupeiformes; Clupeidae
Exons: 3
Source: RefSeq, a predicted model, not a curated record
CGAAAAGGAGCAUAACGAACAGCUACCGCCACCAUCCUCUGCAAGUACAAUUCCCUCGAACCAAAUCAUGAGAAUGAUCAAGACCAUGGCCAAUGCGCUAAUAGGUGCACUUUCCAGGGCUAAUCAGGUGUCCCAAAGCUCCACUCCAACUAUUCCUACCCCCAUCACUCCUACCUUUGUCCCCACCCCCACUGACACCCCUGCGACCUUCAGUACUCGUGUCAAUAAUGGUGUGAAAAGACAGUUUCCUGGAAUGUUUCAGCCACGAGAGGUGGCUGAAAGGAACCCUGCUCCUGUAAAGAAGUUGGACAUAACAUUCUACGUGUUACCCGGCCCUGCUACUUUAACGCCUAAGGGAUCC